CAGUGGUGUGAGUGAUUUUUUAACCUAUGGUGUCAUUGACUAUUCGCAGCAAGGCUACUAGGUUUGACUGUACGUUCCCUUGGUGCCUAGCCAUUUGGGUCCUUGCUGUGUAUGUUGGCUUCAGUAGGUUCAGGUUCGCUGUUUGGAGUAGGAUGCACCUAAAUAGGAUCUAUCAAUCUUGGUAGAAAAGGAGAAGUUCUAUGCAAUUUGUGAG
This 214-nucleotide long non-coding RNA is filed under the name Elaeis guineensis (African oil palm). RNAcentral's name for it is "long non-coding RNA (EGUI_LNC040549)". The record is from RNAcentral. Lineage: Eukaryota; Viridiplantae; Streptophyta; Magnoliopsida; Arecales; Arecaceae.